GUAAUACAGUCAUUUGUUCAAUGGAGUCAACUAGUACGAUUUCUCUUGUUGUUAUUUUAGGUUGAGGUUAGGAAAUGGCUGGAAAAUAGAAUUUAUAAUUGACUGUGGACAUCCAUAAUAAUGUCUGAUGGAGUAGUUCUUUGGAAUCUAAAGGACCUGUGCCCACCACCAAACUCUACCUAUAGAGUGAAAAAAGAAAAUAAAAGUAAGGAAACUAUAAAAUACAUUAUGUACAAAACUUUACAAUUUUACAUCCUGUUUAAGUGUAAUGUUUUCUGUUUCAGUAUUGGUUGAACUAAGGUUGGUGUGUUUGAAAGCUUCGUGUGUUUUGACGGAUUUAAAUGGACUUCAUUAUGAAGGGGCCGUUUUGUCCCGGAUGAUUUAUAUUUACAAGUGCAAAUUUAGAAAUGAAAAGAGCUUCAGAGCCAUAGAAAAGGUGAACAGGAGUCUACGGCGGUACUCGGGCCUGGACCUGGCCGGCGCGUUCAGCGGCUUCACGCCGGGCGACCCCGACUGGGCGGAGACGCACGGCUACCUCCCGUCCCGCCAGAUGCUGCAGUUUGUGCUGGUGCGCACCCAGGGCUUCGCCCGGCUGCUCAGGCACAUGGCAGACGUGUGCGAGGAGGCGGCGAGGGGGGUCGCGCCCAAGCUGGCCACUGGCCACUUCCUGGGUGCAUCGCUCCUGUUCUACGCCGUCGUGAGCCGCAUCUGGGCAUAUGCAAGGUAUCUGGUUUUCUCAGCAUGUGAGUGGUUCAACAAGUUAAAACAAUUCCUCGAUGUACUGGAACCAAACCCAACACCUUGGCUGCCAGAAGGCCACUCAUUUCCUUCUGAUUUGGCAGAUUGGUUGAACAUCGGAUCAUGGACUGAAGCUCCAAGACCCAUGCAGCUGUCUCACACCCAGCGUCUGCUCAGUUUGUUCGCAUCGAAGCGAGAUGAGGAAGUUGAACAUGCAAUGGAAACUGAAUCCGAAGAUGAAAAAAAAAGUUCCUUGGCUGUGAAUGUGAAUGGAAAAAUUUGUGGCGCAGGCAUAAGAAGCUCCUUAGGGGCCAAGAAAAAUAAAGUUCCAUCUUCAAGCUUCUCAGAGAAACUUGUUAAGAAGAAGAAGAAAAAGAAAAGCCUGAAAAACAAUUUAUCACCUGCAAAUUAUUCUGAAACCCAAACUCAAGAUGACAGCAUUUUCGCUCUCUCUCCCACACUGAAUUACAGAUGUGAUGGAGAAGAUUUGGGAGAGUCAGUCUGCCGCGACUCACUGUUGAUGAGGACUGGCGUCGUCGAAAAGCGCCCACCGGAUGCGGAAGGGGGUCCCCUGAGGCGGGACGCCGGACGCCGGACGCCGGGCACCAAGCGGAGCAGACUGGAAGCCAUCGCGAGCCACGGGGAUCUGAGCGCGCUGGUCCGCAGGGAGUCGGAGGAGAGGCUGCUGACCCGCGGCCUCGACAAGCUGCAGUGGCGCCUCCUGAGGAAGUCCCUGAACAAAAAUGAUCAUGGAGCAGAACAAGUUCCUUUUCAUUUAGCGAGGCAAGCAAUGAAUCUAUGCAGGAGGGAAGUGAUGCCUGGCAUUCCCCGUGACGUGGAAGAGCUGGUAAAUGGACUUGAGGAAGCAGCCUGGGCAAACUCUCAGGGCAUGUCGGCAGAAACCAAACUGUGGCACGAUCACGUCAGAAACGAAGAUGGUCAGAUUUCUGCUCUGCUAUUUACAAACGAAUCAUUUUUGCAGCAGCUAUCUGAGCACCCCGCGGAGUUAACAACCAUCGCUGUUGAUGCUACUUUCAAAGUUGUGCCGCAACACCCAAGUGGUCUUCGUCAGUUACUCACUAUUAUGGUUUUUAUUCAAACGAUGGGAUUUCCCAUUUUCUUUGCCAUAAUGCUUAACAAGCUGCAAUCUACUUACGUCGCAGUUUAGAGAAAUUUCGCCAAAAAACUGUGACAUGGUCAGUUGCGACUGUAAUAACUGACUUUGAAAGAGGUCUUACAAAUGCUGUAGGCCAUCUUUACCCCAAUGCCAGACAAGUUCGAUGUUUGUUCCACUACUGUCAGGCAAUUUGGAAGUCUGUUGUGAGAUUUGGUCUCGUCAGAGAGUGUCGUCGAAAUCCGGAACUAAAAAGAGCUGUGAAGAUGAUAAUGGCACUUCCCCAUUUACCGGCCUCAAGAGGAGAACCCCAUGACACCGUUCUUCACCCUGCAAAUAUCGAAGAUGGAUACCAGGUGAUUAAAACUUACGCCAGAGAAGGGAAUCCAAACAGAUUAAAUGCUCUGCUCGAAUAUGUCGAAAACUUUUGGUUACAUCGUGUCUUACCAGAAGGAUUCUCUGUUUUUGGAGCCCAAAUAAGAACAAGUAACCACUUGGAAUCGUUUCAUGGAACACUGUUGGGUUUGAUGGGUCCUCAUUGCAAUAUUUGGAGUUUCCUUAGAUUUCUAACCCAACUCGCGCAUCAAAUGAAAUGUGAUUACACUUGCCUUAUUGAAGGGAGAAUCAUACGCAGGAAUAAUGCAAUACGGAUUAACGACACUGUUCUUGCGAGAAGUAUGGCACGCCUUAUUAGGAGACAGUAUACCGUCAUGGACUUCCUAAGGCAGAUGGCCCAUUCUGUCGAUAGAAUAUACAAUUUAGUCAAUCAGCAGGCAAGGAUUCAAGAACGCGAACCUAACAUGCCAGCCGAAAAUGACAGCGAGGAUGAAUUUGAAGUAAUGGUUGAAGAAAACAUACCACCUGACCACCAAAAUGACCCUGUAAGGACCAACGUACCCGUGCCUACAUAGCAGGAAGCAGAACACACCAAUACCCCUGUUGCGAACCCCGCUCCACCAAGGUGAAACACUUGCACCGUAUGUUUAGUCAACGAAAUUACACGUAUGGUUUACCCAUGUGGGCAUUUUGUACUGUGUGGAAAUUGUGCCGAAGAAUUACGUAAUCACGGUAACAUCGUUAGAUGUCCAAUUUACAGGAGUGAUGUAUAUGACAUCCCACGCGUUUAUUUUGCUUAAAUAUGUAGUUUAUAAUAUAGUUUCUACAGAACAUUUUUAAAGCAUUGACAAGAUAUGUUUAUGUAUUUUAUGUUAAUUCCUAAUUCUGAUUGUCUAAAAUUAUGUCAUAUAUAAUGUCAAAAAAAUUAAGAAAAAAAAGAGACUAGAACAUGUCAUUAUCCUUGCUGAUUGUGAUUAAAUAUUAUGGUAAAACGAAAGUAACUGAUAUGCUGUUUUAUGAAAUUAAUACCAGGACACAAACCGUAAUCUCUUUCAUAUUUCCGUUUUGAAAAAAACAUACUUGAGAGGUCCUAUAAUAAAUUUGUCAGGAAAACGUAGCUGAAUUAUGUAUGAUGAUUGUUUACAAAAAUUCACAUGAAAAAUACUACAUUUUGAACUUAUAUUACAUUAACUAGUAAAUACAACCAAGGUAAGCUAAAGAAAUUCUUGUUGCUGCUAAAUUUCAACACUAAAAUAUACGGGAAGAUGAUCGCUCAGAGAAAGUUAAUUGAACUAAUAGUUUGGCUAUAUAAUUGAAAAAAAAUUAAUAAACUGGUUUAAAAUCUUAGAAUGAACUGUCCGAUGAUUCACAAUUUUCAUUUCAGUUAUGUAACGAAAAAAUGGAAACAAUUUUACAUUUCUGAGUCGAUAUAUUUAUAUUCGACUAAAAGAAAACGAACGUUAUCUAGCUAAAAAAAAACAAUCUUUACUGUUUCUUUAGGUCAGCUUUUACGAAUAAAAUGAAAUAUGCAGCUUAACCAUAAAGGUUAUUAGCGACGCCAAAUCGACUUACGUAGAUAUAAAUUAUGUAAAAACAAAUUCCCGGGAUCAAUAGAAAUAAAAAUUGGCGACUGGAAUAUCUUCCUACCACUAUGUGCUUCAAUUUAACGUUAAAUUUUCUCUAUCCUGUUCUAUCAAUACACAUAAUUGAAUACAUAAAAUUAUAAUUAAUUACUGUGAUUGAAGUCCACAUUCUGGUAUGUUGGAAUCAGAAAGGCCUGAGACCAUAUUAACGAUAUUUGUCAUCGUUUUUGGUAGUAUCAAAACUAGUUUUCUUAAAAGUACAUGGAAUAAUAACUAUCAGUUUUCAAUAACUUUGAUUCUGUGCAUACUAAGGAAGUCGUAGGCGUAGAGUCUGUGGAGGGAGGAAUUAGGCAGAGUGCCUUGGCUCCCCCUGGAAUUAAAAAUAUCACUGUGGGGCUCGCUUUUGCUCUCAAAAUCGUAACUGUGAAAUAAAAAUUAUAUAAAAAAACUUUGGACUGUAGAUUCCGAGGCACACCCCUGCAAAUUCUGCAGAUUUUCGCCCCUGAAGGAGUUAAGAUUUUUAUUUUUGCCUUUCAACCUCUACUUUUGGUAAGGGUAGGUCGUGCCGAGAAUUGUUUCAUAUUCAAGUAUAAGAUCAUAAUUAGAAGUUUUACAAUACAUUCGAACGGACAUUAUUCCGUUCAAACUUAGUGAGGUAUGAAUUUUUAUUUAUUUUGGGACUGCAUUUCAGAAUGUUUACAAUAUUCUUUUCGGAUUUAAUACUUUGUUUACUUAAGAAGCAAUGAAUUAUUUUUUGUCAUUCAACCUUUUUUUUACUCAUAGCGAUAAUGGUCGGUGUUAUGAAAAAAAUCUUCCAGGCUGUAUAAUAAAUUUAGACAAUUGCAAUAUAUUUUAUAUUAGGAAAGUUAUAGUUUUUGUUGUUUAUUAUUGAUUAUUGUAAAACAACCAUAUUUUAUUUUUAUUUUUUGAGAAACGAUCAAUAAUUCUAUGGCUAUCCUGCUCUACGCAUUUCUCUCUGAACCAUUUGAUAUUUGAUUAUGCUGUAUCAAUCUGGACAACAGUUGUACAUUGUUAACAAUUUAACAAUAGAAUUUAUUUAUUGUAAUUAUUAUACACGCACACUUAAGUUGACAUAAUUUGUUUUAUUUGGCAUUUAAUUUGCAGUAUUUUAUGCAACGAUUGUUAUUGUAACUACGCGAGCCAUUUCAUUUUUGUUACAAAAAUGUGUAUUCUCGGUCAAUCACAGGCCAGAAUUGGUAAUUUUUUUUAUGUAUUGUACAAAAUAAAUUAAGAAAUCUAGAAGUUUUAGUGAUGCCAUCCAGACAAUCAAGAGGUGACAUUUUACUUGUGUUUAAUUUUAAAGAUAUUUUAUAACAAUGUUAUGAGUAAAUAAAAGUAACAGGGCUCUAUUCAAAAGAAUGGAGACAUAGGUAAGAAGUGUUGCAAUGACGUGAGUAAACAAAGUUUUGUCUAGACGCAUAGGUAUAAGCAUAUACAUCAAUGUUUGAAAACUAUCUAAAUGUUUCAUUAUUUGUUGUUUUAGCAUUUGAAACAUUGCUUAAAAAACUUAAUAAUCUCUUAAAAUAGUUACAAUUGACAGAACAUAAUUGGAAUUGUGAGUAAAACUGCUUUCGUGUACCCAGAGAUAGAAAGUUAGAUUAACUUGCAUCUGCUAUAUGAACUAUUCAAGCUAGACGUGGAACUUUUCCAAACAAACAAAUAGUUUAGAUGUAAUAAUCCGGAUUUAAUUAACUAUGUAUGCAGUGCGGUGUUGUUAUAUCUGAUUCCCAAGCUAUAUGGAACUUUGGUAUCUUGCAUGUGUGCGCAACGUAGCCCAUGAUGAUGGUGAUUUGUGAUGAUAAUUAGGUGUGUAACCCCAAUUAGACAUAUAUGUAUAGUAAAUAAUAAAAAUUUUCCCUGAAAUAAA
Bacillus rossius redtenbacheri is the source of this 5659-nucleotide RNA transcript. RefSeq lists it as uncharacterized. The transcript is spliced from 9 exons. The record is from RefSeq and is a predicted model, not a curated record. NCBI's taxonomy places the organism in Eukaryota, Metazoa, Arthropoda, Insecta, Phasmatodea, Bacillidae.